AUGACUUAAGGGAAGCUAGAAUAAAAACCCUACUUAAUGACAUCCAGUUAAUUGGCUAAUGUUCUGGGCUCUCAGAUCUUAUACACGUGUUUAUCAGAAGACAAACUGUCUCCUACCCUUGUAUCUUGGAAUCAUCCCUGGAUUUCUAUGUAGUUCUUUGGGUGUGAGUGUCUAUUGUCACUUUCUUCUUUGUCUUCUACUCUUGGGAUGGAGAUCCUGUUCUGCUGUUUUUGCAUUCCUGUCCCGGAGCCUCCACCCAAACUCCAACUCAACACCUGGCAUUCACUGCAGGACUUCCUGGAACUGUAGUUUCUGCCUGCCAGCCUGGAUUUCUGAGGACCACUGCUCUGACUUCUCCUACACUCUCUACCCUGGCAGCAAGGACCACACUGCCAAACUGCCAUUCGGGGUUAAAGGAGAAGGCAGAGCUCUUCAAAUUUUCUGAGGCAGAACUGUGUAUGGAGGAUGAUGAUAUCAGCCUUGUUCGGUUAAACAAAGAGAAAACCACUUCACCAGAAGAGGGUCCAUCAACCUGAACACUGAAGAGGAAGAAACAAGCCUGAUGAUUGGAAAGGAAAUUCUUUAAGUGUGAAUUGCUUCGAGUACAAUAUAAACCUUGUCAGUUAUGGGAUUCCAGCUGUUGUUUUAUUGCCUUUAAUUUCCCAUUAGUGGUUCAAUGUCUGGGAAAGGUAUCUGGCCUCCAGGAGGGGAAGUAAGGUCAGAACUGUUGUUCCUGUCUCUGCCAACAUUUUGAAUAGUGUUUAAAUGAAGCCAUUCAAAAGAU
Molecule: long non-coding RNA, 784 nt
Organism: Cervus elaphus (red deer)
Lineage: Eukaryota; Metazoa; Chordata; Mammalia; Artiodactyla; Cervidae
Exons: 2
Source: RefSeq, a predicted model, not a curated record